Molecule: ribosomal RNA, 353 nt
Filed under: uncultured bacterium
Lineage: Bacteria
Description: bacterial SSU rRNA
Rfam family: Bacterial small subunit ribosomal RNA
Source: RNAcentral
AGAGUUUGAUCAUGGCUCAGGACGAACGCUGGCGGCGCGCCUAACACAUGCAAGUCGAACGAGAGAUGAGGAGCUUGCUCUUCAAAUCGAGUGGCGAACGGGUGAGUAACGCGUGAGGAACCUGCCUCAAANAGGGGGACAACAGUUGGAAACGACUGCUAAUACCGCGGGAUAAGCCCACGGCUCGGCAUCGAGCAGAGGGAAAAGGAGUGAUCCGCUUUGAGAUGGCCUCGCGUCCGAUUAGCUAGUUGGUGAGGUAACGGCCCACCAAGGCAACGAUCGGUAGCCGGACUGAGAGGUUGAACGGCCACAUUGGGACUGAGACACGGCCCAGACUCCUACGGGAGGCAGCA